CGUUUGUUUGAUUGGAAAAGGCCAUGAAUAUGAUGCAGCCAAAUAUUUUGAAAUUCUGAAGAUGUCUUGGACUAUUCAACACAUGUUUAGAUUGUCUUGUUUGUCACUCUGUGUAGCAAGGACAUGAUUCAGUUUGUAGAAGUAUCCAUGCUACAUGUUCUCCUUGUGUUUUCUUUCAUUUCUUUGUUAGUUCCUGUUGAUGCAUUUUAUAUGCCCCUUUUGGGUUAUCUAAUCUUCUCAGAAUUCACAUUUUGCUACAACAAUUGUUAUUGAAAUUUGCACAAUGAUGCUUAUGCAUAAAGCAAUUUUGAUGAAAUGUAAAUUGUUAUAGUAAGUUUCUUCAGCGUUGUAGUAUUGACUGUAUGUUGACUGUUUGCUAUUAUUUUGCUCUGUUUCAGACAAUAUCUUCUGUUAAUCCUUACUUAUCCAAAAAAAAAAAUAUAUCUUCUGUUAAUUCUUAACCUGUCUAAUUUAUUCUCACUACCACACAGUUCCACCCACGUCAUUUUGUGUUGUCCCCUUUUCCUUUAACAACCUUCCACCUUUAUCAGAGCUCUCCUUUUAACGAUGUGGCAAAGUAUAAUAACAGAAGGGAAUUUUAUGGCC
Molecule: long non-coding RNA, 606 nt
Filed under: Vitis vinifera (wine grape)
Lineage: Eukaryota; Viridiplantae; Streptophyta; Magnoliopsida; Vitales; Vitaceae
Description: long non-coding RNA (VVIN_LNC008264)
Source: RNAcentral